AGGACGAACGCUGGCGGCGCGCUUAACACAUGCAAGUCGAGCGAGAACCAGUCCUUCGGGACUGGGGACAGCGGCGAACGGGUGAGUAACACGUGGGUAAUCUGCCCUCGAUUCUGGGAUAGCCCGGGGAAACCCGGAUUAAUACCGGAUAGCCUCCCGAGCUUACGAGCUCGUGAGAAAAGGUAGCUUCGGCCUCCGAUCGAGGAUGAGCCCGCGGCGGAUUAGCUUGUUGGUGGGGUAAUGGCCUACCAAGGCAACGAUCCGUAGCUGGUCUGAGAGGACGAUCAGCCACACUGGGACUGAGACACGGCCCAGACUCCUACGGGAGGCAGCAGUGGGGGAAUCUUGCGCAAUGGGCGAAAGCCUGACGCAGCGACGCCGCGUGGGGAAGAAGGCCUU
This 399-nucleotide ribosomal RNA is filed under the name uncultured soil bacterium. RNAcentral's name for it is "bacterial SSU rRNA". It matches the Rfam family "Bacterial small subunit ribosomal RNA", at positions 26 to 418 of the family's 1533-position model. The record is from RNAcentral.